GUGCUGUGAGAUGUUGGGUUAGUCCGCAACGAGCGCAACCCUUGAUCCUUAGUUGCCAGCAUUCAAGUGUGGAGCACUCUUAUGGAAGACUUGCCGGUAUUGAACCGGAGGAAGGUGGGGAUGACGUCCAGUCCUCAUGGGCCCUUAUGUCCAGGGCUACACACGUGCUACAAUGGCCGGUACAAAGGGUAGCGAGACCGCAAGGUUGAGCGAAUCCCAAAAAGCUGUCUCAGUUCGAGAUUGGAUGUCUGCAACUCGANCUCCAUGAAGUUGGAAUCGCUGUAUNUCUGCGGAUCAGCAUGCCGCGGUGAAUACGUUCCCGGGCCUUGU
This 330-nucleotide ribosomal RNA is filed under the name uncultured Pelobacter sp. RNAcentral describes it as "bacterial SSU rRNA". It matches the Rfam family "Bacterial small subunit ribosomal RNA", at positions 1062 to 1384 of the family's 1533-position model. The record is from RNAcentral. Lineage: Bacteria; Pseudomonadati; Thermodesulfobacteriota; Desulfuromonadia; Desulfuromonadales; Desulfuromonadaceae.